UGGGCUCCGUCUCUGGAGCUAUUUAUGUCACGGAUUUCUAGAAUGUGGUCCUUUGGAUACAUAUCUUGUUUGAAAAUGAUCCAUACUCGACAACUCAUGAGAGAUCAUAGCGGGACGGAAGUAGGUGAAGGGGGAGCAGACCAAGCUGAAGGCAAAAUGGGAGAUUCGGCGUCUCUGUUACAGCGACUGUUUUCUGCUGUUUUCUACGGAGUCGCUUCCUUUCUCAUCAUCGUUGUAAACAAGAUAAUCCUGACAACGUUCAGAUUCCCUUCAUUCCAGGCACUAGCUAUUGGACAGAUGAUGACUGGGAUUGUCGUGUUGUUCAUUUCAAAGAGGCUGGGGCUGAUUCAUUAUCCAGGCCUAUCAAAAGAUACUGCGUUAAAGGUGUGGCCGCUGCCUCUCAUCUAUGUGCUGAAUCUCCUCACAGGACUUGGGGGUACACAGCGGUUAAAUUUACCCAUGUUCACAGUACUAAGAAGAUUUUCCAUAUUAUUCACAAUGAUUGGAGAAUAUCUGAUGUUAGGAUACAAGGUUGCAUUGACAACGAAAUUGACAGUGUUGCUGAUGAUACUUGGAGCUGUUAUAGCAGGAAGCACUGACCUGGCCUUUGACCUGACAGGCUAUGUGAUGAUUCUACUCAAUGAUGUCUUUACAGCUUCCUAUAAUAUAUAUGUGAAGAAAAAGCUGGAUUCAAAGGAACUGGGUAAAUAUGGAGUGCUCUUCUACAACUCGCUCUUCAUGAUUUUACCUGCAUUGUUGUUAGCUCAGUAUAAUGGAGAAAUUGAGAAGAUCAUAUUGUUCGAGGAGUGGGCAAACCCUGUGUUUCUUGGCCAGUUCCUUCUAUCUUGCUUCAUGGGUUUUGUCCUCAACUAUUCCAUCAUACUGUGUACUGCAUACAACUCAGCUCUCACUACCACAGUUGUUGGUGUUUUAAAGAAUACAACAGUGACAUAUGUUGGCAUGUUUAUUGGAGGAGAUUACAUAUUUAGCUUAUCAAAUUUUGCUGGAAUGAAUAUUAGUAUAAUGGGCAGUUUGCUGUACUCGUAUGUGACCUUUGGACAGAAGCCUCCCAAACCCAGCAAUCAGAACACAACUGACCAGAAGCCACAAAUUCAACAUGUUUGAUAUAGGGCUAAGACACCACAAUCUCAGCAAAUAGUUCUAUCCAGAGGAGACUCAGUUUGAUAUACACAGUACUGUAGGGCAGCGAGUAUGCUUCUGUGUGUUUGUUGAAAUCCAUCGAAAUAUCCAUCUCACCAUUGUAAGUAUCAUGAUGAUUAUUAAUGGCAAAAAAAGACAAACGAUGUGGGUCCUGUUCAUGACAUCCAUGUCCGGCUGACUCGGAAGCAGAGACUUGCAACUGUGGUGUGUCAAGGGAAUUUUGGUUUGCUUUUCUGGGCCAUUUAUAUAAGUAUUAAGGCUGUUACAGUUCACUUGCAUAUUUAAUGAAUCGUAACCAUAUACCAUAUCAUGAAUUCAAUUCAUUAUUUAUGACCACUUGAAUCGAAGAUUCAUGAAUUUUUUUAAAAGAGUUUUUUUACAUUAGUUUUGGUGUUAUGUAUUAAAACAAUUUAAAACAAAAUUUUCAAAAUGGAAUAUAUGCAUGCAGUGUGGUUAGUUUGACAGUAAUGUGAUCAGGUCAUUGCUGUGAUGAACUAACACUGUCAGCAUGGUAAAAACAUUUGAAAUCAAUAUUUUGUUAUUAUUUCACAGAAUACACUGACUGAAAUGUCAACUGCUGAACUGUUAUCAUAUUCAUUAUCCAAUAUUCGUGAUAUUUAUUGUCUUCGCCUCAUGGUGGAUUCGUACCAUCCCUAAACCAUACACUCACAGACAAAUGUAACUGUGAUAAAUUGAAUUUAAUGAAGAAUGAAAACUAGUAAUAAUUAUGACAAUAUGUAUGUCCAAAAUGAUGGCUUAUUCUUCUUACUAUACACCAUAACUAACAGUAUUGGAGUUGCAGGAGAACGUCAUGGGAUUAUACAUAGUAUGGGAGUUGUACUCAUAUUAGUAGUUGUCACUGAUAAUUGGUACAGUAUGGGAGUUGCAAUCAUUUUAGCACUAAGAUUAAGAAUGUUAUAGCUUGAUUAUAUAGCAUAAGAGGUGCACUCAUCUUAGGAGUAAUAAUGUCGUGGGACUAUUACACAGUAUGGGAGUCGUACUCAUAUUAUCGUGAACUGUCAUUCAUUGUUUGUACAUUAUGGAGGUUACAAUCAUCUUAGUACUUAGACAUUUGUGGGUCUGUUAUAUAGUAUUGGAGUUUCAGCCAUCUAAGCAGUAAGAAUGUCAUCAGAUUAUUACACAGUAUGGGAGUCGUGCUAAUAUUAGCGUGAGCUGUCAUUGAUUGUUUAUACAUUAUAGAGGUUACAAUCAUCUUAGUACUAAGACAUUUGUGGGUCUAUUAUAUAGUAUUGGAGUUUCAGCCAUCUUAGCGGUAAGAAUGUCAUCAGAUUAUUACACAGUAUGGGAGUCGUACUCAUAUUAUCGUGAACUGUCAUUCAUUGUUUGUACAUUAUGGAGGUUACUAUCAUCUUAGUACUAAGACAUUUGUGGGUCUAUUAUAUAGUAUUGGAGUUUCAGCCAUCUUAGCGGUAAGAAUGUCAUCAGAUUAUUACACAGUAUGGGAGUCGUACUCAUAUUAGCGCGAACUGUCAAUGGUCUGUUGUGUUUCAAUCAAAAAGACUGCCGUGGGUCUGUUAUACAGCACUGGAGCUACGAUUAUCUUAAGACUGAGAUUACCUUGUAGAACAGGUCCCAAUACACUUUUAAGAGGAGUUGUUUCUAAAAGGUCAUUCUAUUGUAAUAACCUAAUCAUCACUUUUGUUAUGGUUGUACUUGUUGUGAAGAGGAGUUACAACGUUGCACAUCCCAGAGAAACGUACAAAAUGAAUACCCUUUUGUGAUCUUAGAGUUUUGUAAUGUAUUGUAGGUUAUAUUAAUAAUAAUAAGAGUAUUUGUAUAGCACUGACUUCCACCACACAUUUGCAAUGCUCAAAGCGCUGACAAGUCACAGUUCAUUAUUACUCCAGAUAACCCAAGCUGCCUGUGAAGGCUAGAAGGUUAUAGUCACAUGACUU
Molecule: unclassified non-coding RNA, 3077 nt
Filed under: Haliotis rubra (blacklip abalone)
Lineage: Eukaryota; Metazoa; Mollusca; Gastropoda; Lepetellida; Haliotidae
Description: uDP-N-acetylglucosamine/UDP-glucose/GDP-mannose transporter-like, transcript variant X1
Source: RNAcentral